CGGCGGACGGGUGAGUAACGCGUGGGUAACCUGCCUCAUACAGGGGGAUAACAGUUAGAAAUGACUGCUAAUACCGCAUAAGACCACGGUACCGCAUGGUACAGUGGUAAAAACUCCGGUGGUAUGAAAUGGACCCGCGUCUGAUUAGGUAGUUGGUGGGGCAACGGCCUACCAAGCCGACGAUCAGUAGCCGACCUGAGAGGGUGACCGGCCACAUUGGGACUGAGACACGGCCCAG
This 238-nucleotide ribosomal RNA is filed under the name uncultured bacterium. RNAcentral's name for it is "partial 16S ribosomal RNA". It matches the Rfam family "Bacterial small subunit ribosomal RNA", at positions 96 to 334 of the family's 1533-position model. The record is from RNAcentral.